Oncorhynchus mykiss (rainbow trout) is the source of this 572-nucleotide non-coding RNA. The record is from RefSeq and is a predicted model, not a curated record. NCBI's taxonomy places the organism in Eukaryota, Metazoa, Chordata, Actinopteri, Salmoniformes, Salmonidae.
UGAGGGAGGGCUGGACGUUUGGCUCUGCCUCUCCACUUUGAAGACUGUGCGUGUCUCGCAUGCCUCACAUUGAAGACAAGUCCUUGGAGAAGGUGUGAAUAACUCGUCCGAUGAAGAGAUGAGAAAAGCAGCCUGGUCUGUCAAGAAGAUACAUGCACAAGAUGAGUGGCAAGCAACACAGGCAACACCAUUACAUGUUCUUGUAAUUGUUGGUCAGCGUUGUGCUUCAUGGCAAUUUGUACCCAAAGAGGCCUGAAGACUGUAUUUGAAAAGAAAGCGACCUUAUGGAGACUCCUCCACUGAUCCAGUCGUCCGCCGUGAAGAUCAGGACACUACAUAGGGCAAGGCCACGUUACACUGGUGACGGACACUGACAGCCUAGAACAUUAAACGCUUCAUCAACACACGGAGGAUAUCUGAAGGCGGACGUCAACAACAUGAACAGAGUAAUAGCUCUAAGGAAAGUCAUGGAAACUUUCAGGAGACCUAGGUUAAGAUACCUACCGUAUAUUUCCAAAUAAAAUUCUGUCCACAACCUACUGUGUACACGUAUCACUUAUGUAAUCUCAUAA